This is a non-coding RNA of Triticum aestivum (bread wheat), 135 nucleotides long. Lineage: Eukaryota; Viridiplantae; Streptophyta; Magnoliopsida; Poales; Poaceae. The record is from Rfam.
AUUCUACUCCCUCCGUCCCAAAAUUUUUGUCUUAGAUUUGUCUAAAUACGGAUGUAUCAAUACAUCCGUAUUUAGAAGAUACAUCCGUAUUUAGACAAAUCUAAGACAAGAAUUUUGGAACGGAGGGAGUAUGUA